CCUACGGGUGGCAGCAGUGAGGAAUAUUGGUCAAUGGGCGCGAGCCUGAACCAGCAAAGUCGCGUGAGGGAAGACGGUCCUAUGGAUUGUAAACCUCUUUUGUCGGGGAGCAAAAGACGCCACGCGUGGCGUUCCGAGAGUACCCGAAGAAACCGCAUCGGCUAACUCCGUGCCAGCCGCCGCGGUAAUACGGAGGAUGCGUGCGUUAUCCGGUUUUAUUGGGUUUAAGGGGUGCGCAGGCGGAAGAUCAAGUCAGCGGUAACAUUGAGAGGCUCAACCUCUUCGAGCCGUUGAAACUGGUUUGCUUGAGUGAAUGAGAGGUAUGCGGAAUGCGGGGUGUAGCGGUGAAAUGCAUAGAUAUCACGCAGAACUCCGAUGGCGAAGGCAGCAUACCGGCGCUCAACUGACGCUCAUGCACGAAAGUGUGGGUAUCGAACAGGAUUAGAUACCCCUGUAGUC
Molecule: ribosomal RNA, 459 nt
Filed under: uncultured bacterium
Lineage: Bacteria
Description: partial 16S ribosomal RNA
Rfam family: Bacterial small subunit ribosomal RNA
Source: RNAcentral